AAGAACAUGUUGCUCAAAGUUUCAGAGAGGGGAAUAAGUGGAGAUCUUGAUUCAAAGUUGUGAAAGAUUUGGUAUGUUUUACUUCUUCAUCUUUCUCUUUUUGGUUUCUACUUUGCACAUGUUAAUUAAAAAAAUAGGAAAUAUUCGAAAAUGAAUUUUUAUAAUUUCAGAAAAAUUAAAACUCGAUCAAGGAACUUAUUUUCGAUAAUAUGCUUAUUCUGCAACUAUUUAUUUAUAGUUAGCUGUAACUGCUAAUAUAUUGAUCUAUCUUGGAUGGGCUCAUCUUCCGGAACCAACCAAUAUUAUGUCCCAUCCUUUGAUGAAAGACGGGACAACACAAUGAAAACAACGUCUUCUGGGACAGAUCAAUAUUCUGUCCCAGCCUUUGAUGAAAGUCGGGAUAAUACAACGAAGACAACAUCUUCUUGGAGAAGAAGUUAAGCCAACGCAGGGUAGAGGACCAAAGAAGGAAACAAAAAAAUAUUCAAUUGCUAUUACAAAUCAGAAUUAAGGAACUCAUUUUCAAAGAAACUGUUUUCAUGUCUAUAAAUAUAUUGAGCUAAUCAAAAUAAUGUCUAGCAACUAUUGUUGAGAAGUAAUAGCUCUUUACUAGAGCUAGCCAAUGUAACUUGAAAAAAUAUAGAGAGAGCUCAUUGAAUCUUCUUUUUAUCUUUUAUUUUAAUCCUCGAAAUUUGAUUUGAAUGUUAUCUAUCUAUUAUUCAAAUAAUAUCUCUUUUACUUGUGUUAAU
RNAcentral lists this long non-coding RNA (749 nucleotides) under Lathyrus oleraceus (garden pea). RNAcentral's name for it is "Pisum sativum (pea) long non-coding RNA (PSAT_LNC032331)". The record is from RNAcentral. Lineage: Eukaryota; Viridiplantae; Streptophyta; Magnoliopsida; Fabales; Fabaceae.